Molecule: long non-coding RNA, 1120 nt
Filed under: Equus asinus (donkey)
Lineage: Eukaryota; Metazoa; Chordata; Mammalia; Perissodactyla; Equidae
Description: lncRNA (ENSEASG00005030525.1, ENSEASG00020000853.1)
Source: RNAcentral
AAUUGUAAAAGAAGAUGGAGACGUAUAGCUGUGGGCAGGCAUUUUUGUGGAGUGACCUGUACCUAAGUGGAUGGUAUGUCCAGAAGGCUUCCAGUCACUCAUUUUGGGUAUCACACAGUGUCCAUUAGGAGAAACGUUGAGGAAGAGACAUCAGAGUUUAACUAAUGUUUUAUUGGAAAGAACUUCAAGUAAUGCCAGGAAGCAAAUUCAGGCUGACUCCUCCAAUCUCCCUGAAAUUUCUAUGUUAGAAUUAAUUUCCAAUCAACUAACUGAUUCUCUGUUGAAACCAAGUGCCCUGGCUCCAACCAAAGAGAAAGGAGGGAGAGACCAGAAAAGGAUACUGAGCAGAGUGUCCAGAGAAGCAGGAGGGAGACUAAACAGCUGAGCAUUGUGGACUUGGAGAGAGAAAAGAUGCUCAAGGUCAUGGUGAAGUACAGUGCCGAUUGCCAGAAUGAAUGCUGUGGUAGAAUAAGGAGUCGAUAGAGAUCAAUAAGUGUGGGAAAUGAUAUUUUUAGUGUCUUUAGUGAGAGAAGUUUCAACUUUAUGAUGGAGUUGAGGCCAGAGAAUAAUGACAAGUGAAUGGGAAACAGUGCACAACAUAAGGGGGAUGUUUUCAAGUUGUCCAAGAAACAUGAGAACUAUUGGCAUGUGUCCACUUCUCAUGGACAAAAGUAAUUUUCUUUUCUUGUAGAGUAUCUUAAUAAAAGUUUUCAAAAGAGAGGAGAGGAGAGGAAGAUAUCAAGAAGAGAAAAGGGACAGGAAAAGUGGAAAGGGUAAAGUUUACAUGGGUGAACAAAGAAAAAGAACGGAAGAGAAGUUGGAAGAGAGUAACAGAGACAUAGAUGGAUAAUGUGGGAAAGAUAAGCCAGUGAAGACAGUGCAAGUAUCCAAGAAAGGCUGAGGAAGGAAGGGGAGGCUCAGAGGUUGGGGGUGAAUGUUUCUCUGAACCCUAGUUUGCAUUAUGUUGUCAACACCAGGAAUCCUUUCAUUUUCUUUUAAUCAAAAUUCUAAAUUUAUUUUCCUGUGGAAUUUGUCUAUGAAAUAUAUUUUCAUUUUAAAUUUUACCUUAGAAACUUUGUACUCUUCCUAAAUAUACUAGCACUGCCUGAAAGUUCUUUCC